GUCGAGAAUCUUUCACAAUGGGGGCAACCCUGAUGGAGCGACGCCGCGUGGAGGAUAAGGUCUUCGGAUUGUAAACUCCUGUCAUGCGUGAACAAGGUUGCUUGGUUAAUACCUGGGCAAAUUGAUGGUAACGCAAGAGGAAGAGACGGCUAACUCUGUGCCAGCAGCCGCGGUAAUACAGAGGUCUCAAGCGUUGUUCGGAAUCACUGGGCGUAAAGGGUGCGUAGGUGGCGUGGUAAGUCAGAUGUGAAAGCCCGGGGCUCAACCUCGGAACUGCAUCCGAUACUGCCAUGCUAGAGUACUGGAGAGGUGACUAGAAUUCUCGGUGUAGCAGUGAAAUGCGUAGAUAUCGAGAGGAAUACCAGAGGCGUAGGCAGGUCACUGGACAGUUACUGACACUGAGGCACGAAGGCCAGGGGAGCGAACGGGAUUAGAUACCCUAGUAGUCC
RNAcentral lists this ribosomal RNA (449 nucleotides) under uncultured bacterium. RNAcentral describes it as "partial 16S ribosomal RNA". It matches the Rfam family "Bacterial small subunit ribosomal RNA", at positions 354 to 796 of the family's 1533-position model. The record is from RNAcentral.